AACGCGAAGAACCUUACCUAGACUUGACAUCUCCUGCAUUACUCUUAAUCGAGGAAGUCUCUUCGGAGACAGGAUGACAGGUGGUGCAUGGUUGUCGUCAGCUCGUGUCGUGAGAUGUUGGGUUAAGUCCCGCAACGAGCGCAACCCUUAUUGUUAGUUGCCAUCAUUAAGUUGGGCACUCUAGCGAGACUGCCCGGGUUAACCGGGAGGAAGGUGGGGAUGACGUCAAAUCAUCAUGCCCCUUAUGUCUAGGGCUACACACGUGCUACAAUGGUCGGUACAAUAAGACGCAAGCCCGCGAGGGGGAGCAAAACUGGAAAACCGAUCUCAGUUCGGAUUGUAGGCUGAAACUCGCCUACAUGAAGCUGGAGUUGCUAGUAAUCGCGAAUCAGCAUGUCGCGGUGAAUACGUUCCCGGGUCUUGUACACACCG
Molecule: ribosomal RNA, 432 nt
Filed under: uncultured Clostridium sp.
Lineage: Bacteria; Bacillati; Bacillota; Clostridia; Eubacteriales; Clostridiaceae
Description: bacterial SSU rRNA
Rfam family: Bacterial small subunit ribosomal RNA
Source: RNAcentral